RNAcentral lists this long non-coding RNA (291 nucleotides) under Mus pahari (shrew mouse). RNAcentral's name for it is "lncRNA (MGP_PahariEiJ_G0003348.1)". Lineage: Eukaryota; Metazoa; Chordata; Mammalia; Rodentia; Muridae. The record is from RNAcentral.
GAAAGGAGCAAGGCAAAACUCCCAUUACCAAGAUGUAGCUACCAAAGGACGGAGAUUUGGGAUCAGACAUUCAAUACCUUUACCCCAGCCCUUGAGGACAACUUCCUCCUAUGGGACUGAGGACUCUAAGAGGUCACCAGAGCUCCUCCAUUGCAUGGACUGUCUACUCUUCAUCCCUGCCCAGGAGCCCUCUGCCCUUAGAAGCCAAUCCACAAAGAACACUCAAAAUGCAUAAAAUCUCCUUAUGGCACUUAAAUGUUUAUGGGUAAUAAAAGGAGUCAUUCUUCUCUC